Molecule: transfer RNA, 74 nt
Filed under: Fasciola hepatica (liver fluke)
Lineage: Eukaryota; Metazoa; Platyhelminthes; Trematoda; Plagiorchiida; Fasciolidae
Rfam family: tRNA
About the family: Transfer RNA (tRNA) molecules are approximately 80 nucleotides in length. Their secondary structure includes four short double-helical elements and three loops (D, anti-codon, and T loops). Further hydrogen bonds mediate the characteristic L-shaped molecular structure. tRNAs have two regions of fundamental functional importance: the anti-codon, which is responsible for specific mRNA codon recognition, and the 3' end, to which the tRNAs corresponding amino acid is attached (by aminoacyl-tRNA synthetases). tRNAs cope with the degeneracy of the genetic code in two manners: having more than one tRNA (with a specific anti-codon) for a particular amino acid; and 'wobble' base-pairing, i.e. permitting non-standard base-pairing at the 3rd anti-codon position.
Source: Rfam by way of RNAcentral
GGCCCGGUAGCUCAGUUGGAUAGAGCGCCGUGCUAAUAACGCGAAUGUCGUGGAUUCUAUCCCCAUCCGAGCCA